This 251-nucleotide ribosomal RNA is filed under the name uncultured bacterium. RNAcentral describes it as "partial 16S ribosomal RNA". It matches the Rfam family "Bacterial small subunit ribosomal RNA", at positions 524 to 776 of the family's 1533-position model. The record is from RNAcentral.
UACGAAGGGGCUAGCGUUGCUCGGAAUCACUGGGCGUAAAGGGUGCGUAGGCGGGUCUUUAAGUCAGGGGUGAAAUCCUGGAGCUCAACUCCAGAACCGCCUUUGAUACUGAGGAUCUUGAGUUCGGGAGAGGUGAGUGGAACUGCGAGUGUAGAGGUGAAUUCGUAGAUAUUCGCAAGAACACCAGAGGCGAAGGCGGCUCGCUGGACAGGCACUGACACUCAACUACGAAAGCGUGGGGAGCAAACAGG